RNAcentral lists this transfer RNA (67 nucleotides) under Marmota monax (woodchuck). RNAcentral's name for it is "tRNA.Ala". The record is from RNAcentral. Lineage: Eukaryota; Metazoa; Chordata; Mammalia; Rodentia; Sciuridae.
GGUUGUGGCUCAGUGGUAUAGUGUUUGCCUAGCAUGCAUGAAGCACUGGGUUUGAUCCCCCACACCA